UUUUUUUUUUUUAACUACGUAGCUAUUUUUCAGUGGAUCAAGAGUUGAAUCUGACUUGCUGUCUUGCCCCGUUUUCAUCUCUGGUAUUUUUCUUUACACAUUCAUAGUGUAUUUUCUACAACAGAAAUCUCAACUUAUCACUAUGUAUAUUCCUUUCUUUGCUCUGAGUCAAUCAUGACAUGUAACAUAUUUUAAUUAUUUGGUGUCUGCUUAACCUUCCACAUCCAGUGCAUUUGCAUCUGCUUUGAGAUAAUUAUAUAUGUAUAUUUUAUAAUAUAUAUAUAUUUAGAUUAUACUCUUUCAAAGAAAGUCUCAUUACCAUAAGUUGUUAUAAAACUGUUCUAUACAUUUGGAUUUCAUUUGUGGUUAACUAUAACCUGCAGGAAUUUACCUGAUACAUUUAUUUUCUGCCAGUCGUUUACAAUGCUAUAGUUGCGUGGCUUUUCUGAAGGCUGCUAUUAUGUCCAUGUUCUUAUAAAAUAUACAGAUGUGUAAAUGAGUUUCUCAUUUGCAGGAAUGUCUUAACUUUUUUUUGUUUGUGCUUCAGGAUAUUAGGAAAUAUUUCUAAUUUAGCACCAUCUACAAAUGUACUGAGUAGAAUUUCACAAAUGUUUAAAAUCAAUUUAAUUAUCCAAUAGAAAAGGUCUUGGUAAGGACAACACAAUUAUUAAUGAUUUUACUUAAUACUGGACAUCAUUCAUUACUAACUUUGACAUAUACCUUAAUGAAAUAAAAUAAAGGUACAAUUUUUUCACAGGUUUUGAUAUUUCUCUUUUGGUCAAGGUUUAGACUUUAUGCCUUUGUUUGGCACCUAAUACAAAACAACAUUUUUCCCUUCUGUUUACAUGACUUCUUAAUAAUUUUUCACAUACUUAUGCUUUCCAAAUGCUUUCAUUUGAUUGAAAUCCAAGAGAGAUUUCCAUCCAGUUAUUGUGUUCUAAUGACAGUUAUAAGCAAGAAAAUGCUUCAGAUACACAAGUCACUUUGCUCAGAACCAUAAUCAUGCCACCUCUGAGGCCGGGCUUGAACAGGACAUAGUUACCUUCUAAUAAGUGAUGAUUUGGCAAGAUGCUGAUAUCUCCACUACGUAUUACUCAUCUUUUCACUUAUUCAAUAAUAUUGUUUAUUACCAGCCAACCACAGUGCUGAGAUCUAGAGGCAAGACCUGUUGUCAUACACCUACAGUCUGGUGGAGGAUGGAGAUAAGAGAACAUUUAUAACACAAUGAAAUAAAUUCUCCAGGAGAGGGACACCUGAGUGGCUGUUGGUUGAGCAUCUGAUUAUUGAUUUUGGCUCAGGUCCUGAUCUUGGGGUCGUGUGAUUGAGUCCUGCAUUGGGCUCUGCAGUCAUCGAGGAGUCUGCUUGUUCCCCUCCCUCUGCUCCUCCACCCACCAUCCUCUAAAUAAAUAAAUAAAUAAAUAAAUAAAUAAAUAAAUAAAUAAAUAAAAUCUUUAAAAAUUAAAUCCUCCAGUGGAGAGGUUCAGAAUAGUAGGGGGAACAUAGAGAAGGUUCAUUAGAUGGGAAAUCAGCGAACGUUUUUUGAGAAAAAUGGUAGCUAAGAUAAGAUCUGAAUAGGCAAAAUUAACCAGGGAAAGUUAGAAUUUAGGGGCUAAAUGAAAAUAUAGAAUAUAACAGGGAGAGAGAGAUUAGCAGAGGCAAGGGCUAGAAAGUUCUUGGAAGAUUUGGAGAGGUGAAAUUGGGCCAGACAGCGGAUGAGCUUAAGAAAGGAAGGAAGCAACGAAAGGUGGAGUUGAAGCAAAAUCCUUUAGAGCCUUAUCAACCGUAUUUAGGAUAGAGAUAAAUAUAUCUACAUUAGUACUGAAAUGUGAUCAUUCCUAGUAUGCUAUUCGCUUUCCAGGCAAACAAAUAUCCUCUACUGUAGUCAAGGGAAGAUAUUUGUUAAGAAUAUUGCAUUACAUUCCAUCUCUCUGGGAUGCUCUCCUCCUCUCUCCCUUAAUCCAUACAUUUCUUGAUACAGCACAUUACUCAUAGUCUUUAUUUGCAUUAAAUUACAUUUUCUCUUCUCUGACUCUUCGUACCUUUCCUCCCCCCUUGAUAUGCUACGUCAAAAUUUUCCUUGACGUAGAGAUAUUUGUAAACUUAGCUUCUCCCACAAGACUGGGUCCUUGAGAGAAGGUAUUAGGUAGUUAUUUUAGCAUCCCCUUUACAUGGGUUUCACAUACUGUUAAAUCAAUGAGUAUUAUAUCAGCCACAAUGGAAAAUUAAGAAAACAGGCCUUUAGAAAACAUUCAAGCCAUAAUAACAGAUACAAAUGAAGCAUUCCCUUCCAAGCUUUGAACCCUGUGUGUUUGCCAAGGUGGAAAUGCAUCUAUUCUUUGUGUCAGUUUAGCUGAUGCUACUGAGAUUGCAAUUAAGAUUUUUUUUUUUUUCUGUUGAAAAAGCACCAUCAACCAUUCACAUAGAAACUGAAGAAUACUACACUAACGUGCAGGAGAAUCACCAAUGAACCACAGACUCAAAGGAGGGCAAUGAUAACCAGUUUGGGAUGGCAUUUCUUCCUCAGGACAAUGAGUUGAGCCAGUUAUUUGAAUGACUGGUUUGAACUGAGUGCAUUUGGUUUCAUACAAAUGUUGAAAGUGGGCCCUUUUUGACUUUUAUGUCAGUUGGGCAGCAAGAAGAACUCAAUCAGUCUGUUAAGAUGAGCAGAAGGAGCAAAGACGGGUUUAUUUCUCUAAAAUUUAUUACUUCCCCAUCAGUACCAUGAAUACAAUAUUUUAAACAGCUGAUUGGUCUUGAGAAUUUUGCCAUUUGGGGAUUUUUUUCCUUUGUAGAAAGUUAAAGUAUCUGCAAAAGCAUAACAGCAACAAUGAUAGUUAUUGGGGAUUCACUAAGCAAUUUAUCCGUAUUGUAUCAUUACCUUUCCAUACAAAAGUCCUGAGUUAUAUAUUAUAUAUUCAUCCCACUUCUGCAGAUGAGAAAAACUUCUCCAACAUACUAUUUGCCAAUGCUUGGGACUGUCUUCCAUAUCUCUUAUAGAUCUUCUAUACUCUAGCCUAAAUAUAUUUUGUUUCUUCAGCUAUUCCUCAAAACAAAAUGGCCUGAUUAACUUGAAUAAGCUUAGUUUUGGGUUCAUCAUUCUUACCAUUCAGUCACCAAAUCCAAAGAGCACACCAAAAACAAUUUUGCCAGCCAGACAGGAGCCUCACUUACUUUAUUCUGAACAGAGUAUUUCAUAUCUUACAAUACUGAAAUAGUUCUCUGAGAAACCAGCUUACAUGGAUGUCUUGCCACAUUUGUGGCUGAGAUUAUUAUGAUUUUUUUUCUAAGCAAUUACCACCACAACUGCAUCGGCCAGUUUUCUAGCUGGGCUAUCAUCAUUUGCAUCCCAACUGUAGGACUUGAAAAAGACGAACUUUAGGGAUAACUUUAGAAGUGGUCCUUUUUCAAUAUAGCCUGUUGCACGCUUGUUAGAUUCUUAAUCUAGUAGUCCUUAACCAAAAAUCUUUGAACAGCGAGUUUAGUGGUUUAUGUCACAAAACCCCACUUUCUACCUGGGUUUCAUCUAAUCAAUCAUUAACAGUUAUUCAUUAAUAAAGUAUUUUUAAACAAAUUUCCUCAGUAGUUUGAAAGAUCUGGAGGUUAAUUUUCAUUUUCAAAGGCCUUUGUAAUAGGCAUUUUAAGUGAAAGAGAACACUUGAAAUGCAGCAACUUAUCAUUAGGUUGUAAAAAUUAAACUGAAGAUUUACAAUCACAUGCAAAUCUUAUGAAGUGACAUUUCAGAAAACCACUUUCACUCUUACUAUGUAUCUUUGAAAAGAACUGAUAUUUUAUUGCAUUAAUGUUUAAGAACAUUUGAUAGGAUUAUUUCAUUCUGAACGUAGAAGGCAAAU
Molecule: long non-coding RNA, 3851 nt
Filed under: Canis lupus familiaris (dog)
Lineage: Eukaryota; Metazoa; Chordata; Mammalia; Carnivora; Canidae
Description: lncRNA (ENSCAFG00000058356.1)
Source: RNAcentral